Molecule: long non-coding RNA, 1459 nt
Filed under: Sinocyclocheilus grahami
Lineage: Eukaryota; Metazoa; Chordata; Actinopteri; Cypriniformes; Cyprinidae
Description: lncRNA (ENSSGRG00000044145.1)
Source: RNAcentral
CAUUUGACCACUUUCAUUUAUGUUUGCAGAUAUUCCGAAGAAGAAAUCCGACAGAAGGUUGGAACAUUUCGGCAGAUGCUGAUGGAAAAGGAAGGCGUGAUAACUCGAGAAGGCUUGCACCCACGUCCACCGGUUAGGCUGCUUCCUCACGGGGAUGAAGAUCACGUGGGAAAUGCUGCGUACGUCGAGGGCUUUGAGGAAGACUAUGAUUGGGAUGGAGAAUAUUACGAGCAAGAUUCAGCUGCCUACGAUGACUGCAGAUCCAAGAGGAAAUCCAGCAGUUCACCUUCUCCUCGGCCAAAAAAGAGGAAAAAGAAGAAGGCAAGAAGACACAGUCGAGCUGACAGCCCGUCUCCAACCAGCAGAGACAAGAGGAAGAAAAGCGGAAAGAAACACAAGAGAGACAGGUCCACAUCUGGCUCAAGGAGGAAGAGGAGACACAGAUCUGGGAGCCCCAAAAACAAACACAAAGACAAGAACAAACAGAAGAAGAGGUGUUCAGUGGAGUCUCCGGGCAGGAGUUCUCAGCACAGAGGCAGCUGCUGUAGUUCCCGCAGCGGAUCCGUCUCCUCCACCGCCAGCAUCUCCAAAUCACCCAGCAGAUCAAGUGCAAAGUGCAGGAACGACAGGCACAAACAGGAAGGAAGUCACUCCAGCCACAGCCCACCGCCGUCCCCCACCACUGACCAGCCAAUCACGUGGCAGAAUGGGAACCACAGCAUCCGUGUACGCAAUGGCAAAGAUUCAGAAGCCAAUCACACGGAGGGGAAUAAAGGGAACGAUGUAUGUAGUCUCCUCUACUUUACCUUCAUCUGUUCUCUGCCGUUUACACUAAUAAUCCCUCAAACACUCUCUCUCUCACACACACACACACACACACACGCCAACUGAUUCAGUCAUAUCUGUGUGAGCUGACUCUAUAUCUCUUUUCCCUCUUUGGCUCCAUUUCGUGAGUUUUUCUGUUCUCAAGCCAUUUAUGUGUUUGUUGGGAAGGGUUUUUAUUUUGUCGAGACAGAUGUCCAUUAUUUUCUUUCUGUAAUAAUGUCAUGCUUUAUUUCACACACAAGCCAUUUUUCUUACAAUGGAAACUAAAAUAUAACCAAUUGUUGAGCAUGUGGGAUUUCAUGGAAGCACCAGCUCCAUCCCGAAGGCACAAACUGACGGUUGUGGCAUCUUGCGACAAUUUUUUACAUAAAGCAUCUAUUGCUAAUAAUUCAAUCGCUGGUGUUGGAUAACAUCCCACGAAAGAGACAUUUGAUGCCUCAACCAGUUAAAUUAAAGAUAUUUUGGUAACACUUUUGCUUCAUUUGUUAACAUUAGUUAACUAAAUUAGUUAACAUGAACUAACAAUGAACAAAGUAAAUGGGUGCCGUCAGAAAGAGAGUCCAAACAGCUGAUAAAAACAUCACAAUAGUAAUCCACACAACUCCAGUCCAUCAGUUACUUAUCUUUAGAAGCC